UGAGCACCCAAAGUGAGCAAAAGAACAGAGUGACACAAUGACAUAGAUCGAGUGGCAUUCGAUAAAGUUAACGUAAAAUGAUACUAGAGAUAGUGUGAGGUAAAGAACCAAUGUAAUGUAAAGAAUGAUGAAAAUGACAAUGCUUAAAGUUAAAGUAAUGUGGGAAGUAAAGAACAUGAAGUGCUAGAGGUAGCCAAAAAUAAAGAAUUGUAAAGAAUGUGUUCGCAUGAGUUUGCAACAAAAAGUGAUGAAAGAACACUAGAGCUAGUGUAAAGUCAAGAUUG
This 284-nucleotide long non-coding RNA is filed under the name Ananas comosus (pineapple). RNAcentral describes it as "long non-coding RNA (ACOM_LNC013518)". Lineage: Eukaryota; Viridiplantae; Streptophyta; Magnoliopsida; Poales; Bromeliaceae. The record is from RNAcentral.